Molecule: long non-coding RNA, 737 nt
Organism: Phasianus colchicus (ring-necked pheasant)
Lineage: Eukaryota; Metazoa; Chordata; Aves; Galliformes; Phasianidae
Source: RefSeq, a predicted model, not a curated record
AAGGAUCUCUUCUGGAGAUCUGCUCUGUUGGAGUUUCAUAAGCCAGCUCAGAAUACAGGUAUAAAGCACGGACAGUGAUCUUGGUCAUGGAAUGAUAGCCAGCAAUUUAAAGAAGAUUGCAAGUUAUUUUCCUCUUCCCAGCAAUUCGGAACAUUCUUUUGUCUAAACAGGUCUAUUUUUUUGGUGUAGAAAGCAGGUGCACAUUUCUGUGCAGAAAGUCCAAGAACCACUAGACAGGAAUUCCAGCAUUUAGAACUGAAGCUUUAAAGUGCAUGUAAAGUUAUGCUGUUUUAAUGUCAUGAUUAUCAUGAGUCCCUCUCACUGACAGCAUUCCUGUGGUACCAGAUCCUGCACAAUGUUCAGACAUAAGCUCCAAAGGAGACAGGAGUUGGAAAGGCAGUGUGGCCAGUGAGCAGAGGCUGAGAGACAGAGCUACCAGAAAACAGGAAGACAAUGGCACUCACCAUGAUAAGCAAGUCUCAGCAUGUGAUGUGAAAUUAUUAGGUUUUUUAAACCAAUUUACCUAGUGAAUUAAACAGGUUAAAGUCGGCAUGUAUAUUGAUUUUGCUCAUUCUUACAAGAGAUCAAUUUAACCUAGGUUGAUGUUUCAGUUUUAAAACAAGUUAAGUGCGUCCACUCAGGAGUUUUGAACCACUUUAACUGAAUUUACCUUAAACUAAUUUGUUUUGAACUGAUAUAAUAUUUUGGACAGGAAACUCUGUAAAAGAUAUUAUAAA